This is an RNA transcript of Oncorhynchus keta (chum salmon), 4275 nucleotides long. RefSeq lists it as uncharacterized. The record is from RefSeq and is a predicted model, not a curated record. Lineage: Eukaryota; Metazoa; Chordata; Actinopteri; Salmoniformes; Salmonidae. The transcript is spliced from 5 exons.
AUGGCUUAGUUAGGGGAUUUCUCCUCCGUUCAACCCCUCCAAUAAUGUCCGGUAGCGUCACCCUAUACCCUUAACCCUCACAUCCAAACAAAAACCAUUGAUCUCAAAGAUAACAAACCGUAGAACACGAUGCACAAAGGAACAUUUUUACAAAUGUCAGAAGAACUGUGCAGAUACAGUGUUUACAACUGAGAGAAAUUGUACUCCAAUUCUGUUACCAAACUUUGCAUAUGUACAGUUUUUCCAGCAAAUACUUAUUUUAUUUACUGUGUAAAUUAGUCAAAGUAGUCCUUGUGCAUCCAGAGCCUUGUGGAAGUGUGUGUUCUCAGAGUGACGAGAGGUGGUGGGUUUGCGCCAGACGUUUUCCUUGAUGGCCAAAAAGCUCCAUUUUAGUUUCAUCUGACCAGAGGACCUUCUUCCAUACGUUUGGGGAGUCUCCCACAUGAUUUUUGGGGAACGUCAAAUGUGUUUCCUUAUUUUCUUCUGGCCACUCUUCCCUGAAGCCCCUCUCUGUGGGGUGUACAGCUUAAAGUGGUCCUACGGACAGACACUACAAUCUCAGCUGUGGAGUUUUACAGCUCCUUCACGGUUAUCUUUGGUCUCUUUGUUGCCUCUCUGGUUAAUGCCCUACUUGCCUGGUCCGUGAGUGUUGGUGGGCGGCCCUCUCUCGGCAGGUUUGUUGUGGUGCCAUAUUCUUUCAUUUUUUUAAAUAAUGGAUUUUAAAUGGUGCUCUGUGGGGAUGUUCAAAGUUUUGGAUAUUUUUUUUUUUUAUACCCCAACCCUGAUCUGUACUUCUAAACAACUUUGUCCCUGACCUGUUUGGAGAGAACCCUGGUCUUGAUGGUGCCGUUCCUUAGUGGCGUUGCAGAAUCUGGGGCCUUUCAGAACACACACACACACACUGAGAUCAUGUGACACUUAGACUGCACACAGGUAGACUUGAUUAAUUAAUUAUGUGACUUCUGAAGGUAAUUAGUUGCACCAGGGGCCUGUUGCACAAAAGUAGAAUUAAGACAUCCGGGAUAAAUGACUAAGCUGAGCUCAAUGAAGCCAAAACAUGUGCGUCCAGGCUUAAUUGGUUGCACAAAGACCAAGCCAGGAUGAGCAGACACGGAUUCAUUAAGCCGGGUGAAACCAAUCCUGGAUAGGUGCUCGCUCACGGCUCACUCAAAUAGACCCCGCCACAGAUCACAGAUUAACUGAUUUACCAUGGCAACUAGAGCCGCGUACUUUUCCCCGUCGGAAGCACAAAUCCUCAUGGAGGCAUACGAUGAGGUAAAAGAUAUAAUUAAGAAGAAAGGCAACACCGCCACAGUGAUAAAGCAAAGAGAAAAAGCGUGGCAAAGUAUUGCAGACCGCCUGAAUGCCAGUGAAAAAGAAUACCCACAGACAAGGCACGGGUGGUGGGUCACCAAAGGCUGACCUUACCCCAGCAGAGGACAUGGCCUUGGAGCUAAAUAAAGGCAGGCCAGUCUUAGAGGGGAUCCCUGGGGGGAAAGAGACGAGCAUAGGUUCCUCCCAAGAUGCCACCCGCUUCAUUCAAGUGUCUGGCAGCACUGUGUUCCUGUUAGAGCCACCAGCACAAGCACCAGACGAUGCUGAUCCAGGUGAAGGCCCCAGUGCAGCAGCAACAGCACAUGAUGGAGACGAUGAUGAUGAGGAGGAGACCAUCUCUCUGGAUUCCAGAAGGCAUGAGGUAUCAUGGUAAGACUGUGAAAGUACUAUUUACUCUACAAUGGUGAGGAGUCCUCAUCAAAAUCAAAAAAUCUAAUUUCUUUUACAGGACCCAGAUGCUAUACAGUGGGAAAACCAGCCUGGCAACAUAGUGCAUAUUAAUAAAAGGACACCACAUCCUGCCAAAUUCCAGCUGCGCUAAUUGUAUUGUGUUCACAGAGCUUACAAGCUAUCAGAAAGUUGUAUGGCAACCACCUCCGGCGCCAAAUAGAACUGGCAGACAUAGACAUUCAGUACAAGAAGAAAAAGAUGGAAAAUCUUGCACUGGAGUCCGAAAUAAAAAAGAGGACAAUUAGGAAACUGGACCUUGAAAUAAAAAAACUUGAGAGGGAGGUGAGAUAUGCCUUCAAUGUACACUGUAUGCUAACUGUAACACAAAUGUAUUAAUCAUUAUUUGUAUUUCCUCCCCCAGCUCCAAGAAGAUGACACAGCUCAAAAUAAAAAUGAGGUAUAUUCUCGUAAAGUCAAGUGAGCCAUGACAUAUGAGCUCUUAUUGUGAGCACACAGGACGGUGGCAUCUUUCUAAGUUUUUUUUUAUUUUCCCAGCAAUCAGUACAACCAAGUCAUCGUUAUAAGGCAUCGCCCUCUUUUGCCCACCCCCCCAGCACCAGGUGUGGCCACUAGCCUAUAUGAAGGCCCAAAAUUGUGUGUUCCUUUCUGCUCUGACAAUGGCAUGCCCAUUCGUGCGAGAUGUGGUGGAUGAAGAAGCACUUGUGCUGAGGAGAGCCUUCAGGCGAGAAAGGGUCUUCAGGGACCGGUUGGACCCACUGGCCUUCCCUGACGACCAUCUAUAUGAAAGAUACAGGUUUUCUGCAGAUGGCAUCAGGUAUCUAUGCAGACUACUGGGUCCCAGGAUUAAGCACCGCACUGCACGGAGCCAUGCACUGAGUGUGGAGCAAAUGGUUUGUGUGGCCUUGCGCUUUUUUGCUAGUGGAGCCUUCCUGUACUCAGUGGGGGAUGCAGAACAGCUGAACAAGGCCACAAUUUGCCGCACAAUAAGGAGUGUGUGUCUGGCUAUCAAAGCAUUAGCAGAUGUCUUCAUCUCCUUCCCUGGCCACAGAAGACUGUGACAUCAAAGAGGAGUUCUAUAGGAUUGCAGGUAAGAGGAUCUACAAAUUACAGGACAACUGUUAACACAUAGUAGGAUACUCAUUACUUUGUGUGACAGGUUUCCCCAAUGUCAUUGGUGCAGUGGACUGCACACACAUAAGGAUAAAAGCCCCCUCAGGUGCCCAUGAGGCCGAUUUUGUGAAUAGGAAAUCCUUUCACAGCAUUAAUGUUCAGAUGGUCUGCAAUGCUGACUGUGUGAUCAGCAAUGUUGUGGCAAAAUGGCCUGGCUCAGUCCAUGACUCCAGAAUCUUUCGGGCCUCUGAAAUCUAUAAGUGCCUAUCACAUAAGCCACACAACCCCUAUUUAUAACCAUCAUGGCUGUGUCAAGAAUAUCACUGUGUUUAUGAGGUAGUAAUGAUGAGAUUUUGUGUUGACAGGUGAAUUCUCUGGUGUGUUGCUGGGAGACAGGGGGUAUGGCUGCCAGCCUUUUCUCCUGACACCUUUCACAGACCCCCAGGAACACAGCAGGCCUACAACCAUGCCCAUGCCAGGACCAGGGCCAGAGUUGAAAUGACCUUUGGCCUCCUGAAGGCACGCUUUCACUGCCUUCACAAAUUAAGGGUCAGCCCUGUUAGGGCAUGUGAUAUUACUGUGGCUUGUGCUGUCCUCCACAAUGUGGCCUGCCUGAGGAAGGAGAGGGCCCCCAGAGUGCCACCAGCCAUGGACUGGGACAAUCCGGCAAUCUUCCCUGAUGACGACAGUGGUCGGCUGCUGAGGGACCAAUAUGUGUUGAAUUAUUUUAGUUAGUAUGUGUGCUUUCAAUUUUGGUUAAAUAUGUCCUGCGGUGGCAGAGGAAUUUGGGUUUUUUUGGGUUCGUUUUUUUUACGAAUUUGGCCUCUUAUGAUGUUUGUGCGGUAUACUGUGUGUAAUACAAGGCUGCAGGGAGGCUACUGCAUCCAUUCAUUUGUCUGUUCAGUUGAUGUGUAUGGAUUUGUCCUGCAUUUAUUUUAGUGUGCAGACAUGCAGGGUGUGUUAUAUACAGACCUUUGAAUGUGUAUGUAUCAUUUUGUAUAAUAUGCUUGGAUUCUGUGCUUUCCAUCUUGUAGAGUCACUGUGACUUCAGUUUCGAAAGGAGCUGAUGGUUUACCUGCUUUGUUUUGUCCUUAUUCAAUAAAGGAACAUAAUGUUACACAUUGUGUUUUUAUAUUCAUAUGGAAUGUGUAUUUGUUUAUAUGACAGAGUACUAGGGCCACACUGAAGAAAAAGGAUAAAGUCAUACAUUUAUGAGGCUGGUUCUUUCUGCAGAAAAGCUACAUAUUGUUUUUACAGUUUUGAUACUUAUGACAAUGUGAUACUUAAUAUUCUGGCACAUCAGCAUGUCUUUGUUUAUGAAACCAUACUGAAGUACAAUUUCACGAAAUGCCCCGCAUCUGUCAUUUUAACAACUGUCCUCCUUUAAAACAACUGGUUACAAUAUUAUGACUUGUCUUU